ACCUAGGACAUCUCCUCCUGGGGUUUCUGACCAUCCCAUUCUGGUGAAAUCUAUCACUGUUUUCUCAUCAGAGGAAGAUUUCUCUCUGAGGACCAUUUUCCCAUUCCUCUGGCUCCAUUCACCAAACCACAGAAUUUAAAUGCCAGAUGACCAUGUUGGCAGGAACAGCUCCUGGGAAGUCUUGUCUGCAAGGAAACUUCUGAAUACUUAAUAUCCAGCUCCGUUACAAGACCACUUGCUAGAGUGGGGACCUAAUACAGUCCCCUUGUGACAGGGUGACCAACUUUCCUUAUCCUGUGAGCUGCAAACCAAAGUCCUGAGGGACUGAGACCCAUAAGACUCACA
This is a long non-coding RNA of Nothoprocta perdicaria, 345 nucleotides long. RefSeq lists it as uncharacterized. The record is from RefSeq and is a predicted model, not a curated record. The transcript is spliced from 2 exons. Lineage: Eukaryota; Metazoa; Chordata; Aves; Tinamiformes; Tinamidae.